UGGGGAAUAUUGCGCAAUGGGCGAAAGCCUGACGCAGCGACGCCGCGUGAGGGAUGAAGGUUUUCGGAUCGUAAACCUCUGUCAGAAGGGAAGAAACCGCACUGUGCUAAUCAGCAGUGCCUUGACGGUACCUUCAAAGGAAGCACCGGCUAACUCCGUGCCAGCAGCCGCGGUAAUACGGAGGGUGCAAGCGUUAAUCGGAAUUACUGGGCGUAAAGCGCACGUAGGCUGCUUUGUAAGUCAGGGGUGAAAUCCCACGGCUCAACCGUGGAACUGCCUUUGAUACUGCUUAGCUUGAAUCCGGGAGAGGGUGGCGGAAUUCCAGGUGUAGGAGUGAAAUCCGUAGAUAUCUGGAGGAACAUCCGUGGCGAAGGCGGCCACCUGGACCGGUAUUGACGCUGAGGUGCGAAAGCGUGGGGAGCAAACAGG
This 429-nucleotide ribosomal RNA is filed under the name Fusobacteriota bacterium. RNAcentral describes it as "Fusobacteria bacterium partial 16S ribosomal RNA". It matches the Rfam family "Bacterial small subunit ribosomal RNA", at positions 355 to 776 of the family's 1533-position model. Lineage: Bacteria; Fusobacteriati; Fusobacteriota. The record is from RNAcentral.